AUGACCUGGCGGCAGGCUUACCAUGCAAGUCGAACGAUGAAAUCUAGCUUGCUAAAUGGAUUAGUGGCGAACGGGUGAGUAAUGCUUAGGAAUCUGCCUAUUAGUGGGGGAUAACCAUCCGAAAGGAUGGCUAAUACCGCAUACGUCUUACGAGAGAAAGGGGGCUUUUAGCUCUCGCUAAUAGAUGAGCCUAAGUCGGAUUAGCUAGUUGGUGGGGUAAAGGCCUACCAAGGCGACGAUCUGUAGCUGGUCUGAGAGGAUGAUCAGCCACACUGGGACUGAGACACGGCCCAGACUCCUACGGGAGGCAGCAGUGGGGAAUAUUGGACAAUGGGCGAAAGCCUGAUCCAGCCAUGCCGCGUGUGUGAAGAAGGCCUUUUGGUUGUAAAGCACUUUAAGUGGGGAGGAAAAGCUUGUGGUUAAUACCCAUUAGCCCUGACGUUACCCACAGAAUAAGCACCGGCUAACUCUGUGCCAGCAGCCGCGGUAAU
This 491-nucleotide ribosomal RNA is filed under the name uncultured bacterium. RNAcentral's name for it is "bacterial SSU rRNA". It matches the Rfam family "Bacterial small subunit ribosomal RNA", at positions 36 to 524 of the family's 1533-position model. The record is from RNAcentral.